Molecule: ribosomal RNA, 414 nt
Filed under: Hemipyxis plagioderoides
Lineage: Eukaryota; Metazoa; Arthropoda; Insecta; Coleoptera; Chrysomelidae
Description: eukaryotic LSU rRNA
Source: RNAcentral
GGUCGAAAGGGGAAAUUCAUUCGCGUUUCGAUAUUGGAGUUAUAGGAAUGUGCGACAGUGAGGGUACUUUUGUGCGACUCCUGCGCCUUUCUUUUAACUAGCCGAGAUCGAACGCGUGCACUUUUCCCCUAGUAGGACGUCGCGAUCCGUUGGGUGUUUGUCUAAGAAUCGAGGUGGUGCCCGCGAGACAUUUUCGUCACGCGGACCCUUGAAUUUCGACAAACUCGCUCGACGGUAUCCAAACGGCGCGAGGCCGCUUAUGUUGUGCGUUCGUGUGAUAUAAAAUACGAACGUACAAACAGAUUUAGCGUUCGGCCCGUCGCAAGCACGUACCGUAUUUGACGGCGAUCGGACCUGGUGCCGAUUCUGUCGCGGGACGACUGUUGGUUGACGGUGUUCUCGAACAGACCUCGU